Molecule: small nuclear RNA, 107 nt
Organism: Pteronotus mesoamericanus
Lineage: Eukaryota; Metazoa; Chordata; Mammalia; Chiroptera; Mormoopidae
Source: RefSeq, a predicted model, not a curated record
GUGCUUGCUUCAGCAGCACAUAUACUAAAAUUGGAACAAUACAGAAAAGAUUUGCAUGGCCCCUGCACAAACAUGACAUGCAAAUUCGUGACGGGUUCCAUAUUUUU